CUUUCCCCACCACGACCUGCUUGGCGCCCAACCUCGCCGCUUCGUCGUUGCCGGUGAGCCCCUCUUCUCAAACUGCCAUGGACGCGGCACCCUCGAGCUUGACCUCUUCCCCUCCUCUAUCUCUACCCCCCACCAGGACCAUCGUUUGCGUGCCCCUCACCACCGCUGCUGCAACGACCCACUCCGUCGCUACUCCAAGCUUCCUCGCCGAGCUUCUGCAGCCGGCGGCGGCGCCACGGGCGUCGACCUUUUUUUUGCUUCAACCAAAACGGCGCUGUGAAACGAGAUGGGGGUAGUGCUACAACCAGCGACGUUGGAAGCUACAACCGGCUUUGGCGAAAGCUGCAUCCAAAGAGUAGAAAGCUACAACCAGUGCACCGGCGGAAGCUGGAACCAGAGACAAGAAAAGCUACAACCAUCAUCCGGAUUUGCUACAACGGAUGCGGCGACAGCACCAACCACCGGAGCUGCACUCGCGAGCAAUGACUCCACAGUGGCGACCCCUUUUGCUGGAACCAUCACCAGCUUUCGCUACUACAGGCAGGAAAUUUGCUACAUCUAUCAUAAAGGGAGCUGCAUGGUGCUCGACCGACAGAUCUUUUUUGCUGAAACCGACUACUAGCGGAGCUGCAACCACGCAACGCGGAUGCUGGAACCAUUGCCGACGAAAGAUGGAACUGGUGUCUUUUUUUUGCUUCAACCAACGAAGUGGUGCUGAGAUGAUGAUGUGCGCCGCCGUGGAGACGACAGCGAGGAGCACGGACGGCGCCACUUGUGCGGUGGGGCGGCACGACCCGAUGGCUGCAACCUUGCCGGCUGCUGCUAGGAACGCACUGCCGCAGUAGCGACGCAUCCCACAGGUAGAAGAUGGAAGAUGUGGUAGUCAUGGUGAGGCGACUGCGAGGUUGCAAGCACACCCACGACGACGAGGCGCGCGUCCAUGGCUGGGAGCGGUACGACCCGCGGCGCUUGCGGGCGCGGCCGGAGACGUGCGCGCUGGAGGUGCUUGCGGGGGCUGGUGGUGCCGGCGAGGGCUGGUGUUGUGGGUGGGUAUCGAUAGCGGAGAACGACCAGGGAAGAAGAUGAGAGUUGACUCGGGGGGAAAAGAGUUUUCUAAUCUAACGGCUGUGCGUUGUCCAAUCGAACGAUGUAGCUGCGACCGGUGGAAGCCUUGCGCCGGUCGACCGGCGCAGAUCACUGCCCAAAAACAAAGCUUUCAGAAAUUACAAAAA
This is a long non-coding RNA of Triticum dicoccoides, 1232 nucleotides long. RefSeq lists it as uncharacterized. NCBI's taxonomy places the organism in Eukaryota, Viridiplantae, Streptophyta, Magnoliopsida, Poales, Poaceae. The transcript is spliced from 2 exons. The record is from RefSeq and is a predicted model, not a curated record.